GACUUAUCACGUAUUAUUUUAACAAAAAAAUGAUAAUAAAUGGCGGUUAACUGUUAAUGUUAAUUUUCCAUUAUCAAAUAUCGAAUAUUAAUUAUUAAUUAAUUAAUAUUCUUUGAACGUUUAACCACAGAAUACGUUUUAAGUAAAUACAAUGUAAAUGUGUAUUAUUUUAAAUAUAAAUUUAAGGUUUAAACCAAUUAUUUCAAUGCAUAUGUAUUUUGUGAUAGUGUUUUAAUGUUGUAUUUUGGUUAAACAAUUUGAAUUUAAUUAAAAGUAUACUUCAAUCCAAUCAGCAUGUGUAUGACAAUUAGUUUUCAUACUUUUCCUACAACUUUUUAUAAUUUAUUGUGGCAAUUCGUAGAAUUGGUGUAAUUAAUCAAAAAUAACAGUGAAAUAUAUGACUAGCUCAAUUUGACCAGCAAUUAAUGCAAAUUCAUAUUGCUUUCUACUGGUACCUAUCUGAUGACUAUAAAUUAAUAAAUAAAAUAAAAUUGGAAUAAAAGAAUAAAAUAUACAUAUAUCUAUAUUAUAUUUUAAUCUUUUAACAAACUAAACAAUCUAUUAUGAAAUUUAUUUUAUUUUAUUUCAAAUUCCAAUUGCAUUUAAUAGUACUAACUUUUAAUUCAAAUAUCUAUAACAAUAUUGGAUGAACAAAUACAAAUUGCUGUUUUGGUUAGCCACAGCAUAAUACAGUGAAACUUCUAAUUAACGGUCACCAAAGGGACCAUAAAUAAUGACCGCUAUUUAGAGGUAGCUGUCCUAUAGAGGUGACCAUUAACGGAAGUUUUACUGCACAUCUCACCUGAUAACUUAAUAAUUGCAUUCUGAUAAAAAAAAUAACAGUGCAGCAUCAAGACCAACUACUUCUAAAUUUGUAAAAAUUGUUGAUGAUCAUAUUAAUAGUUAAUUGUAUGUUUAAAUAAUUAGGUUAAGUUAUUGGUACAUAACAUAAGUAGGGCGGCGCUUUCCAUUACCGCACAAACAUGACCCAAUACCGCACAAAGUGUAUAACCCAACACCGCACACAAAAAUAGUACGAUACCGCACAAAUUUAUAAAAAGGUAUAGCCUAAUUCCGCAUACAACAAAUGGUACGAUACCACAUAAAUUUAUUAAAUAUAAAAAUUUUACAUAGAAUUAAAUAGUUAAAAAUAAUUUUUAGUCAUAAUUUUUAGUAGUAUUAGUUAUAAUAGUAACACAAAUGUAAUAAUUUAAACAUAAAUGUUAUUGUAGAUACCUAUAUUGGUUUAAAAUGUAAACCAAUUUGUACACUGUGAAUACAAUCUUUUACAGAUAAAGUUUAAUAAUGUCGUUAUAGAUAAUUGUCGAUAAGUGACGAUAAUCGUCCAAAAUAUAAAUGUGCGGCAAUGGGAUAUCCAGUAUUUUAAAAUCUGUGUGCAGUUUUGUCCCAUGCAUAUUUAUAACGGGCGAUGCCCAAGUAGGGCUAUGGAGUUUUUAUUAACCUAAAUUAGCAAAUUAAAAUUUUUUUUUUAUAUCUGAGUGCCAUUUUUAUGCAAUAUAUUAAAAGAUUUUUAUAUCAUAAAAUAUUAAUUAAAAAUUAACAUCAUUUCAAAAAUAAGUGUAAAAAUCAAUAAUUUUUUAAAACAUCCAUAGCCCUAAAAAUAUGUUGUACUCUAUGUAUAGAGUAGAUAAUGUAAAGUAUGUUCAAUGUUCAUUUAAUUUGUAUUAAUUUAUCUAGGGUAGUGGACAUGUUAAGUGUUAAUAUUUUUUAUUAGGUAUGACCUUACCCAAAUCCUGCAAAAAUUUGCACUACGGAAAUUUGUUCAUGUUCUAGUAAAAUUAUUAAUAACUAAUGUGUUUAUUGCCUUUGAUAAUUUAGUAUUGAAUUAAUGUCCAUUAUUUGGUCUAUUCACAUACAAGAUAGUUUUAAUAUAAAAUGCAAAUCAUACAUUAUACGAAAAAUAUAUACUAGUAUAACUUAUAAUUAUAAAUGGAAAAUCGGGUAGGCACGAUGUACGAGCUCUAGGCCUAUAACCUUGUAUCAGAUUAACAAUACAGGACUCAUUUUCUCGAUGCACAAACCAUUGUAAUAUCAGUCUGAUGUAGGUUAUUUGUCAUGUCACUUAAUUUGUGUAAUCAAAAUAAUUUACCUAUUCUAUUUUUUUUUUAGUAUACAUAGAUUGAUUUGUAAUUAUUUUUAUGUUUAAUGAAAAGAAAACCUUUAAUGGAAGGGGCAUUGUAAAAAUGUAUAAUUAGAAAAAAAGAAGAAAUGUGUGAAUAGACCUUUAACUACUUUAGUCUUAGCUCUAUACCCUGAAUCCAAGUACAUAUGGCAACCAUAUACAUUUAUAUCUGCACAUUUAUGAAUUAUUUUUCUAAAUACAUAGAAAUUGUUGAUUUACUUUGUUUUAAAAUGAAAAAAUGUUAUCUGUUUAAUAUAAUCAUUUACUAUAGUAAUUAAGAUACACCAUAUUGUUUUUUAAAAAAUAUUUAUUUUGUAAUUUACUAAUUAUAACUCAUCAAUCUAAUAUAGAAAUAUAAAUUAUAUUAAAUAAAUACAUAUGUAUUUGUAUGUAUUUGGAGGACAUAUCUUUAUCAAGACGCAAAACUUUAGUUUGGCAGCAGGACGGUGCUCCAGCUCAUAAUAAAAAUAUUGUCAUAGAGUAUUUAAAUUGCACUUUUGGUACAAAUUGGAUGGGAACGUACAGUCCAAAAAUAUGUUGGCCACCUCGUAGUCCCGAUCUGACUUCGCCAUAUUAUUUUCUUUGGGGUUAUCUUCAAAGUGUAGUUUACAAAGAAAUGCCUGCUAAUGUAAAUGAUCUUAAACAAAAAAUUAAAGAUGCUUGUUCUAAUAUCUCAAAUUAUGUUUUAGUGAAAACUACUACAAAUGAAUUACUUAAACGACUGGCAAUUUGUUUGGAAGUAGAUGGUCAUCAGUUUGAACAUCUAUUAAAAUAAAUUAUUAAUAAACUUUAAUUGACUACUUACAAGAA
This is a long non-coding RNA of Rhopalosiphum padi (bird cherry-oat aphid), 2953 nucleotides long. RefSeq lists it as uncharacterized. Lineage: Eukaryota; Metazoa; Arthropoda; Insecta; Hemiptera; Aphididae. The record is from RefSeq and is a predicted model, not a curated record. The transcript is spliced from 5 exons.